GGGGAAUUUUCCGCAAUGGGCGAAAGCCUGACGGAGCAAUACCGCGUGAGGGAGGAAGGCUCUUGGGUUGUAAACCUCUUUUCUGAGGGAAGAAAAAAAUGACGGUACCUCAGGAAUAAGCAUCGGCUAACUCCGUGCCAGCAGCCGCGGUAAUACGGAGGAUGCAAGCGUUAUCCGGAAUGAUUGGGCGUAAAGCGUCCGCAGGUGGCAUUUCAAGUCUGCGGUCAAAGGUCGAGGCUCAACCUCGAACAGGCCGUGGAAACUGAAAAGCUAGAGUGUGGUAGGGGCAGAGGGAAUUCCCAGUGUAGCGGUGAAAUGCGUAGAGAUUGGGAAGAACACCGGUGGCGAAAGCGCUCUGCUAGGCCAAGACUGACACUGAGGGACGAAAGCUAGGGGAGCGAAUGGGAUUAGAUACCCCAGUAGUCCUAGCCGUAAACGAUGGAUACUAGGUGUAGCUUGUAUCGACCCAAGCUGUGCCGUAGCUAACGCGUUAAGUAUCCCGCCUGGGGAGUACGCGCGCGAGCGUGAAACUCAAAGGAAUUGACGGGGGCCCGCACAAGCGGUGGAGUAUGUGGUUUAAUUCGAUGCAACGCGAAGAACCUUACCAGGACUUGACAUGUCGCGAAUCUGAGUGAAAGCUUAGAGUGCCUUCGGGAGCGCGAACACAGGUGGUGCAUGGCUGUCGUCAGCUCGUGUCGUGAGAUGUUGGGUUAAGUCCCGCAACGAGCGCAACCCUCGUUUUUAGUUGCCAGCAUUAAGUUGGGCACUCUAGAGAGACUGCCGGUGACAAACCGGAGGAAGGUGGGGAUGACGUCAAGUCAGCAUGCCCCUUACGUUCUGGGCUACACACGUACUACAAUGCUACGGACAAAGGGCAGCAAGCCAGCGAUGGCAAGCCAAUCCCAUAAACCGUGGCUCAGUUCAGAUUGCAGGCUGCAACUCGCCUGCAUGAAGGCGGAAUCGCUAGUAAUCGCAGGUCAGCACUACUGCGGUGAAUACGUUCCCGGGCCUUGUACACACCGCCCGUCACACCAUGGAAGCUGGCAGUGCCCGAAGUCGUUACCCUAACCAUUCGUGGAGGGGGAUGCCGAAGGUGUGGCUGGUGACUGGGGUGAAGUCGUAACAAGGUAGCCGUACCGGAAGGUGUGGCUGGAUCACCUCCUU
This 1164-nucleotide ribosomal RNA is filed under the name cyanobacterium ATA3_5Q_KO9_cl2. RNAcentral's name for it is "bacterial SSU rRNA". It matches the Rfam family "Bacterial small subunit ribosomal RNA", at positions 356 to 1532 of the family's 1533-position model. Lineage: Bacteria; Bacillati; Cyanobacteriota. The record is from RNAcentral.